Molecule: long non-coding RNA, 408 nt
Organism: Oncorhynchus tshawytscha (Chinook salmon)
Lineage: Eukaryota; Metazoa; Chordata; Actinopteri; Salmoniformes; Salmonidae
Source: Ensembl
CAGGGGCUAGGUGAGAGUAGGGGGUAGUGGUAGGGUGUAGUCAGGGGCUAGGUGAGAGUAGGGGGUAGCGGUAGGGUGUUGUCAGGGGCUAGGUGAGAGUAGGGGGUAGCGGUAGGGUGUUGUCAGGUACUAGGUGAGAGUAGGGGGUAGCGGUAGGGUGUUGUCAGGGGCUAGGUGAGAGUAGGGGGUAGCGGUAGGGUGUUGUCAGGGGCUAGGUGAGAGUAGGGGGUAGCGGUAGGGUGUAGUCAGGGGCUAGGUGAGAGUAGGGGGUAGCGGUAGGGUGUUGUCUGACUCCGCCAGAUCUAGCGAAGCAACUGAAAGCACCAAUCCAACAAGGUCACAUGAUCCUGCUAUAGAAACCAAAGCAGAACAAGUUGUCAAGUAACUUCGAACCAGAGCCAUACACCG